Long non-coding RNA from Calypte anna (Anna's hummingbird), 2212 nucleotides. RefSeq lists it as uncharacterized. Lineage: Eukaryota; Metazoa; Chordata; Aves; Apodiformes; Trochilidae. The transcript is spliced from 4 exons. The record is from RefSeq and is a predicted model, not a curated record.
UCUCCAGAAAAAAUAGAAAGAGGUGAUUUGAGGGGACAGAAUUAUACCCAACUGACUUCCCAGCUCUGCUGGGUUGGUUGCAGAUUUAGGUACAGUCAGUUGGCAAUGAUUUCUAGACAGAGCCUGUGGGGAAUAGAAAGGUUCAUCCCUGCCUUGCUGCCUGGUGCAGGUGCUCCCCACAGGCUGGAAACCCCAUCACAGUGACAUGAAACAGCUUUCAGCAGAGAUCUGCAUCAACUGUGCUGAAGGCUGUGAACUCUCCUCUCACUUUGUAACAGGAUUAAAACACCGUAACAGAACUGUGGAAGAAAACUAUCCCUUCUUUUGCAUGCACAAUGUCUGUUUUUCCAGGAUUUCUGCUCUCUGACACUUCUGUCCUCUGAGUGUCUCUUUCAUUAGCUAUGAUUUAAGUUAAUGGUUUAAUAUUUAUCCGUUCUUAAAGUGAAACUACUUACUAGCUGUCAGAGCCUAAAAGCAAAAAUACAAAUGACAGCAGGAAAGUCUGUUUCUUCACAAUAAAUGCUUUGUAUUGCCACUAACUUCUUAAGUCAAACAUAAAUCAAGAUAUCCAAGCACUGAGAAUUCUGCAGUGUAAUCCAUGUGAGGCUCUUCUCUGCUUUAAGCCAAAAUAGAAACUAGAAAGGACUCAAGAUAGAACUGAGAAACUCAGAUGAUCAACAACAAUUUUGUAGCUUCGUUUUCUAUUAUGUUGAUAUGGUGAAUAUACUAGAAAAUGGGUUCUGGGUUUGCAUUUCCUUCUUGUGCAGCAGGACACUAAAUAAUAGCAUUUGUGGUCUAAUCUGGGCUUUAAUAUGGUUUUUUUUCAGUUGCUUAAUUGCAUUAAUGGAAAGAGGAGGAUGAUCUUGUGGCGAGGCCAGAGUACUGGAAGUCAGGUGAUCUGGGUUAUAUUCAGUUCUGCCACAAGCUUCCUGUGCAGUCUGCUGUAAUCAGACACAUGCAAUGGACCACCUGGUUGAACAGUGGAAAGAAAAUGCAUUGGUUAUUGUCUUCUACUGAUCUCCCUCAACUGGGCCCUGCUCCCACAGUCGUAAUGAAAAGAAGCGUCUGUUCAGGAUACUCUGCUUUGUGGAUUGAUUCUGCUGCUGGGCAACUCAAAAAACUUCAGGUGGUAGAAGAGGAACUGCAGGUGGUCCCUGGCUGUCAGGAAGAGCAAUGGCACAUCUCUUCCAUGUUCUUCUGUGGAGACCUCUGAAGCUGCCUGGAAACCAGAAGCCUGCAGUGCAGUAAGUGCAGUGCCAUUCUAUGCAGUGCCAUUCUCCACUUGGGGAGAAGCCAGAGAGGUGUAGGUAGCAGUUUAGUCCAAAGGUGUCUGACUCCAAAUGCUUUUGCAAAGUGAAUUGCUUUUACAGUAAGAGGAAUGUGGUUUGUAUAACCUCAAUGAAAGUCACUUUAGGCAGCUCCAGGUUAUGUGGGUUUGAACUACAUCUCCAAAUGCACUGGCACCCCUUCUUGCCAAAAUCUCCUGAACUUUAUUGACUUGGUUUAAUAAUGAAACUGCUACACAGCUUCCUCAUUCCUGAAACUUAUUUUAAUGCAAUUCCCUUUUGAAGGAGCACAUACCCACUCUGAUUUAUUUUAAAACAGCUUUUAGAAGGUGUCAUCCUUGUGAUGAAGUGUUAGGUCUAUGUUGCCAGUGUGCCAUUAAAAAUUGAAUUUCUGAUGUUUAAACGUCUCACUCAUCCCAAGUGUCAGAGUCUGACAGCUCUGCAUGUCACAUUACAGCACAGUAUUAUGGAUCCAUUUCCUCCAUUAGAGGAAAAACAAGAUGAAAAAUGAGAGAAAGCAAAAUCUGCAGUUUCUUCAUUAUUAAGCUGGAAAUUUAGAGGAAUAUGUAUGUUAAUCCUUAAAGUACUUAAAUGGCACUCCAUAUCCUGUGCCUCCUGUCUGUGCAGAAGCAACCUUUGUCCUGUGCUCCUAUGCAAACACUCAGAGAAUGCUGGGAGAGUUUUUGCAAUUGUCCAUGGCCUUGUAAAACAACAGCAAGGAGUAUCUAUGAAAUCAGCAAGUGGAUAAUGUAACAAAAUCAAAACAUGACCAGAUCCCAUUGUUUGGUCUUGACUAGGUCAAGAAAAAGGCCAUGUGAUAUAUUUAUUGCUGCGUUGUUUUGCCAGCUUUAGACAGCUGUGUGCUUUGGUGUCCUUUCUCUGUUUAUCUGUCUGCAAUGUGAUAACUGCAAAACAUGACAUCUGAU